AGCUCCAGAAGCGUAUAUUAAAGUUGUUGCAGUUAAAACGCUCGUAGUCGGGUUUCGGGUCGGGCCGAGCGGUCUGCCGAUGGGUAUGCACUGUUUGGCGCGGCCUUCUUUCCGGAGACCGCGGCUACUCUUAACUGAGCGGGCGUGGGAGACGGAUCGUUUACUUUGAAAAAAUCAGAGUGUUUCAAGCAGGCAGCUCGCUCUUGCAUGGUACAGCAUGGGAUGAUUGAAUAGGACUCCGGUGCUAUUUUGUUGGUUUCGAACACCAGGAGUAAUGAUUAACAGGGACAGUCAGGGGCACUCGUAUUCCGUCGAGAGAGGUGAAAUUCUCAGACCAAUGGAAGACGAACCACUGCGAAAGCAUUUGCCAGGGAUGUUUUCACUG
RNAcentral lists this ribosomal RNA (385 nucleotides) under Phaeocystis sp. Its description in RNAcentral is "SSU rRNA". It matches the Rfam family "Eukaryotic small subunit ribosomal RNA", at positions 587 to 975 of the family's 1831-position model. Lineage: Eukaryota; Haptophyta; Phaeocystales; Phaeocystaceae. The record is from RNAcentral.